CCUACGGGAGGCAGCAGUGGGGAAUAUUGCACAAUGGGCGCAAGCCUGAUGCAGCCAUGCCGCGUGUGUGAAGAAGGCCUUCGGGUUGUAAAGCACUUUCAGCGGCGAGGAAGGCGGUGAGGUUAAUAACCUCAUCGAUUGACGUUACCCGCAGAAGAAGCACCGGCUAACUCCGUGCCAGCAGCCGCGGUAAUACGGAGGGUGCAAGCGUUAAUCGGAAUUACUGGGCGUAAAGCGCACGCAGGCGGUCUGUCAAGUCGGAUGUGAAAUCCCCGGGCUCAACCUGGGAACUGCAUUCGAAACUGGCAGGCUAGAGUCUUGUAGAGGGGGGUAGAAUUCCAGGUGUAGCGGUGAAAUGCGUAGAGAUCUGGAGGAAUACCGGUGGCGAAGGCGGCCCCCUGGACAAAGACUGACGCUCAGGUGCGAAAGCGUGGGGAGCAAACAGGAUUAGAUACCCGUGUAGUC
Molecule: ribosomal RNA, 465 nt
Filed under: uncultured Klebsiella sp.
Lineage: Bacteria; Pseudomonadati; Pseudomonadota; Gammaproteobacteria; Enterobacterales; Enterobacteriaceae
Description: bacterial SSU rRNA
Rfam family: Bacterial small subunit ribosomal RNA
Source: RNAcentral